CUGCAAUCUGGAGGAGCUCAUCUCUUUUGUAAUAGUUAUCUUAACAAGUAAAGCUGAAAUGAAAGAAUCUGCCGGUGUUAUGGAUGGAAGGUGCUAUUUAAACAGAGAAAGGAUCUUCUUUCUCUUUGCCUUUUUUGCUCUGAUUUCUGAUGGUCACUAUAGCAACAGGAACCAAAGAGAUGAAGAACUGGAAAACAUGCACUUCACUAUGACAAGUUCAAUUUACAGCCAGCUCAGCAAUGUAACAAAUCUGUGUCAUACUUAAUGAGAAGCUGUGCAGCAGGGCAGGCGUGAUGGGAAGACAGAGUUAAGACUGAGAUAUGAAACAGAGAACUCAGCACCCUCCAGUUUUGUCUUUUGUUCACCCAGCUUCAUAUAUGUUUAAGACAAGGAUAAUGUGGAUGGUCAUUGCAGUGUCCUUUUUGUGGGCUGGGAUUUCUAUUGCCCAUGCUUUUUCCAAAGGAGACUUUUCCUGACUGCACCAUUCGUGUGUCGGAGGAUGUGGAGCUGUUUGUGCCUGAGAGCCUGAGCAGAGCUCAAAUGAGAAUUCUAAAGGCAACACAAGCCCCCAGGACAUUGUUUUCCAGUCCAUGAGCAGAAGCUUUUGGCUGCUGCAGAAGUUCCCCUCUGUCUCAUCUGAAGCUGCUGUAAAGCAUAAAACGGAAUGAUCCCCUAAAAUGGAAUCACCAGGGAGAGCAACCCCAAUGGACACCUUUCCUGCCUGUCAAAAUCCCCUCUUAGGAAGGAAUGGGCACAGGGAGUGCAUUCAGCAUUUGCCAAUGCCCUGAUGUUCCCCCACCCAAAGAGAAUUAAUGGCUGAGCUGGAAUGAAGAGCACAGCACAGAGAGCAGGCAUGGCCCAGACCUCACAGCACUAAUUAUGCCCUUAAAGGGACUGAAUUGCUAAUUUUGGAUAGUCAUGGGAGCUGCUCUGGAAAUGCUUGCUAGAGGAAAUGCAAAUAUAUCAUUACAACACUGAAUUAAGGGUCAAGGAAAAUACUGUUGCUAAGAAGCUGGACACACUGAAGAUAUUCAAGACUGAUGGACCAGAACCUCUUGCAUCCAUACCUGUAACAAAUGGAAAAGGUCAGGAUUAAAUGAAAGCAUGACUGUGUGCUGUGCCAAACUAUUACCCUUCCCAGAUGCUAAGCAAAAAAUUAUUGUGGUUUUUUUUUUUUGUUUUACUUCUUACAAACAGUAGAAAUUUACAAAAACACAGUAAAUAUUUUUGAACUACAGAAACGCCUUGCAAAAUGCUGAAAUUGUAUGAAUGGUGCUCUGGUUUAGCUGACAAAAAGUGGUAUUUGGUCAGAGGUUGGGCUCGGUGACCUUGGAGGUUUUUUCCAACCUUAAUGAUUCUGUGUUUCUAUGACUCUACUUUCAAGGUAAUAAUUUAAAAAAAAAAAAAAAAAGGAGAAAAAGCAAAAAAGUUAACAUUUUUAAUACUAAUUUACAUGGUAAUUUACCAGUUCAGCAGGAUGGAGUUUGUCAAGCAUAAGGGCGUGAAGACUGUUAAUUGCUUUUCUUUUUAUGACCUUAUUACCACCCAACGUAUAAGUAUUAAUUCCCUUUUUUUUUUUUGUUUUGUUCCUGAAAGGACAAAGUUGAAGGGGGAAGCAGCUUGAACCUACUGGCUAGCCUGGGAAUGAGGAUCUGCUCGCUGCUGGUGCCAUCCCCCCCCUCGGUGGUGGCCUUCACCUCGAUGAUAUAAUCGUCGUUGGACUGGAGCCACAGCUCGGCCGUCGUCUGCUCCGUGCUCAGCACCUUCACGCUGCCCUGGCUGCUGGUCCUGUACAAAACCUGCAACACAGGCAACAUCCUCCUCUAGGACCUGCCCUGCCAGUUUUGAGCUGGGCUUCUCAGAAUCCAGGUUUCUUUUCGGGGUGAAAAGAUCUGAAUUUUUUUUUUUUUUUGGGUGAAUGUUCUCGUGCGGAAUUACGUUUUAAGAAAGAAGGUAACAUCAAUCAACAGGUUUAAUUAGAAAUGGCACAGUGUAGAAUGAUAACACGUAUUAUAUAUUGUUUUGAUUGCAAUUGUUAUUAUAGGUAAUAAUAUAGUUGGUGGUGGGACACUGGAACAAGCUGUAAACAUGAAUUUCUUGCCAAUACAACUCAGAUCUUCAGCUAAAUCUUUUAAGUGGGAAUAUAUCAUGUGGGAUCCAGCUACACAGAGCUUAUCAAGAACAUCCUCAACUAUUCUUUUACACUUAUAUGACAUAUUUAAAUACUUGUACACUUGUGUGCUGAUCAGAUUUAGAGCAGAUGUAAUUUCUAUCAGGAAAAUGAGCAAGUCCCACAGUAGGUAAGAAGAAAAAGGGUUUAAAAAUACCAGUUUGAUAUGUGUGGUACUAUACAUAGACCUGGCCAGGAAGGGAAGCUGUGUCCACCAGGCUAAAUCUUGGAUUAUAUAGUUUCUUCUGAAGUGUUAUAUAUUUAGGUGUUACAUAUUUUUAGUAAGUUUUAUAGAUGUGGUAAGUGUUCUGCAGGUUCUAAGAUCCAAGUGUUACACGUGUGGUAAGUGGGAUCCCAAGAGAAGGCAUGAGGAGAAGGCAUUAGUGUACAUUAAUGGUAAUUAAUUAGUGGUAAAAAGGACUGUGGUUAUGAGACAUUGUUAGAAUGUGAUUAAAAUCUGUAAGAAGGCUGUGACAUUGGGCAUCCUCUGAACAUGCAAAUAGGCAAGAAAAAGCCAACUUUGGAUUGCUUUCAGCUCUGUUUUCACUGACCUUAUACCCAGUCACCUCGGACUCGUUCCCCAGAGCUGUCACCUCCUCCCAGCUCAGGAUAACUCUGGAGUCAGUGACAUUCCACACGACGUUUCCUGGAGGUUGACUGGGUGCUUCAAAUACAUAAUAAAAGUAUGACUUUAAUUUAAUUGGCAUUAGUGAUUUAUUCAACAGUAGGAAAUAGUUCAGGCAAUUGACUGUUGUUACAUUUUGGAUGCAAAAGCAACUCAAAUGCAGGUUCCUCGUUUGUACACGUUAUGGUUCAGAGGCUAAAUUGGAAAAAUAGAAGGAAGGAAAAAACAGAAUGCCACAUAAAUGUUAUUUCUGAAGCUGAAUUAUCUGUUGAUUGUCCUUCAUUAAAUGCAGCCAGAUAGAAGCAUGUGUCUUAGGAUGUGGGUGAUCAAUUAGAACAAGCUGGGGAAAACAAUGGUGGUAACAGAAAAUUUACAGUUUUAGUGCAGUGCCAAGAACAAGAAAAUUCUUCAUAAGAUAUUGUUAGAUAAAUUUAGUCUUACUGACUAUUCAAAUCUACACACUACCUUAUUCACUUUAAUGUCUGUAAUGUAGAAAUACUUCACAGGGCUAUUUUUUUUGUUCUCUUAACUCAAGAUUCUGACCUGCAGCCCCUGCUCAUGUCUGAGCUGAACAACAGUGGGCUUUGGCCAAGGCACUCUACUGGCUUUUUGUUCAUUAGCAACCUGAGCCUGUUAUUUCCAAAGGAGCUGCAUCCUUUGGGCUGUGCUUUCAUAUAUCUUGGAACUGCCAAGCUCUUAGGGCAGGCAAAGGAAGAACAAACCUCUUACGAUACCUCAGGUUGGUCUCCCAGAAAAUGGGCCACGUGGUGACACAAUCAAUGAUUAAAAUCUUUUCUAAAUGUGUCAAGGAAACAAUUUACUGCUGCUGUCACCUAGUGGAGGCAACUGCUGCUUAGGUGGACUGGGCUGUGCUUUCAUGCUGGAGGUUCAAGUACCAAGCACUAACAGUGGUUUUGAACACUUGUAUCCCUGUGCUUAUUUUUUUUUUCCCCCCUCCUUUCUCCUCCUCAUUUCAAUUCCUUCCCACAGGUAACUCUCUACCUUCUUUCCAUGAGCAGUCAGCUCAAAACUCAUCUGAUUAUACUUCAAAAAUAGACACAAAAAUGUACGAGCGAGACUUAAAGAAAUUAUUCUGAAGUCAAACAACCACUCACAGGUAUUUUUUGUAGCAUUUGCCUUGUUCUAUGCACCGAGUAAGAUUUAACCUGAUGUACUAAUAAUAACCACAUUUUGGAAAUGUAAAAGGAGAUUGUUUCACUCCUGAGAAUGAAGUGUUACAGCAUAUAUGAGUAGUUUUCACACUGGGAUAUUAAAGCUGAAUUUCAAAAGAAAUGAGUCAUUCUUGAAAUCCACAACAAAAUAUUAAGAUGACAUGUGAAAAAAGGAAGAAUAAUUAUAUAUAAAAACUGUAAGCCUCUAUCUAUCACUGGGCUUAUGGAAGGGAUUCAGAAGGCUCCAAUUUGCUUCAGACAUCAAAAUCUCCAGUAAUCUUCAGUGUUCAGAACUGCAGAGCUUCAUCUGUACCAGGUCAGAUCCUGAUCCAUCAUGUCAUGGAAGUACAUGUCCAGGGCUAAGGAUGCAAAUAGCUGCAUGGAUUUCUGAGACUCUUCAGAUGCUUAAAGCUGGUCAUGAACAUGAAUAUUUCUCUGAAUUAGAAUUGACUGACAGAACACAUUUGCUUGUAUUUUAAGACUUUCUAAAUAUGAAAUAAUUGUGACACCUUGUCUUAUAAACUUAGGCAAGUCUUCCCCAGUCACUUGCCAUUUUAUAUAGCAUAUUUUAUAAAAAACCUCCACCUGUUAUUUUGGGCUUGCAAACAGGAAUAUUUCAAAUAUAAAAGCAAAGAUACUUUAUUUGUCAAGGACUCAAUUUUCAAUCUUGAAAUAUAGUGCCAGUUGAACUGAAGUAUUUGUAUUUCUUGAUAUGGCUGGAGUUACUGAGAGGUACCUUGUAGGCCCUGUGGGGGAAUGUAAAUCCUUCACGGCGAAAAACACAUCAAUCACGAAUAUUCAAGUUAAAGUAGAAAUUGGGAUUGAUUAAAAAUCACACCUUUGAAUGAAAAAUCAGCUUCUGCUGUAGCAGCAGAGAGAAUUAUUUGUCUUAGUCAAUUCAACUGGUAGUUAGCAAGAUCCUUCAGAGUGACAUUACACUGUAGUGCAAUGGUUUUGCUCUCUUUAGUCACAUGCAAUUAAUUUUUCCUUUUUAAUUAUUCCAAAUAGCAGCAAUCUUGACCAAGGGCCUGAUCCAGAUCUGUUCAAACCAGUGUCCAGUUCUCACACAUCCCAAAGGCACGUGGCCACUAAAAAAGGACUGAAAAUCCCUGAGCUGACCAGGCUGGCACCAGCCACAAAGUUGAUUAAUUAGAGAAAAAAUUACUUAUCACAUGUCCUGUCCAGGCUACAGGCAGUGAGUUACUUCAGAUCAGCAAUUCAUGGUAACUCUGCAUAUAAUAUAUCUAAACUCUGGCAAAUCUGAGUUGGUUUAGUCCUCAGUGACAGCCUGACACUCGUUUUUGCCUAAAAUAAUUUCUGAUAAAUUAGCUUAUUUCAUAAUAUUAAUGACACAACUAUUUCUGGUAGAAGGAUGUUAAUGACUAUUCCAGGGAGUUUGACCUUUCAGAUAUAUUUAAUUGUAUGUUCUCGUGCCUCUGACAGAAAUCCUUCAAGAGUGAUGACCCUGACUCGGGGUUGGGUUACAGUGGAGGAGCCCAAUAAAAAUAUUUCCACUGUAGAAAAAUUAGUGCAGCCUUUGACAAUCUGUUCUCCAGCUUAAUUUCUCCUUUGUAACAGCAAAGUGGCCUCUUGUGCAAUUUGUUCAAGGGGAAACAGUGGACAUGAAGGAUUGUUUUGCAUGAACUGUAUGAGGAUCACUGCAUUUCAAAAGCCAUGCCCUAGAGAACUUAUAAAUAUGUUAUAGAACGCUGAAAAAUUCAACAAGUCUCUUUUUUUUUCCCCCCUUCUGAAGAACAGAGAUUUUUCUUUUCAAUUUCUUCCAGUCAUUAGAAGCAUAAUAAAGGUUCUGUGCAGAAAUUACACAUCUUUCUUGGGUUCCACUGGCAUAGCUGAGUUUUACUCGUCCUGCUGGAGCCACGGAGGGAGGAAGCUCCAAGCUUGAUUUAACUGUGCUUAGAACCAACCCCUGCCCUGGACUGCACGAAAAUUCAAGUCACUGACUCAUACUGUGUGAUUCCCAGUAAUGCCACUGUUUUUCCUGCACACCAUUAAGUCUCUCCCCACUUUGAAUUCCAGAUACUCACGUGGCUUUUUAGUGGUGGCAUUCACGGUGGCACUGAAGGGCCCAGCCCCAGCACUGUUGUAGGCACGGACAGCUGUGUAAUAAGCCAAGUUGCUCCUCAAACCCGUGAUUCUUAUUGAUGUUUCAUUCCCUGCUGCUUUUACUCUGUUUGAAGAUUCUUCUUUCUGACCAUUAUUCCAGUACCUAACCUAGGAGAUAUAAAAGCAAAACCAUUUAAAUCUUGCAUGGAAUGGACUGUUCACCCACAGCAAUGCACUUGACUCUUUUAAGUGCAGGGGUUUUUUUUUUUUUCCCCUCAGCUGAAAAAGGUAGAAAUACAUUAAAGUUUCAGAAAUGUGUUUACUGUGCAAAAAUAAAAUAUUCUUAUCCAUCUGCUUCUCACGCCUGCUGCUCUUUUUAGUGUGACUGUAGGAAAAAGAAAAUUGAAAUAUUAGAUCUCGCUUGAAUUAAAGAAUGACAAGAGGAAAACCAUUACUUCAUUAAAGAGAAAACAAGUUAAACUCAGGAAAAUGUACCCUAUGAAAAAGUUUCUCUGAAAGUAAAUGUAAUUCUGAAAAAAUAUGUCAGUUUGAAGACAUGUUAGACACAUGACUAUCUAUCAGCACAGGAAGAAAACCACAAUUUCAGUCUGUGAUCUUUUUUGCAAUAAUAGAAGAAAUUAUCCUUCCUCUGGGUGUGGGUGGGGCAGGAAGAGUAAGAUUUGGGGCAAUCUUUUGUAAAUCUGUGUGGCUGUCCCGCAGCCUGCAUGACCCUUCUGGCCCAUGGCCAUUUGCAAAGGGGAGUGUAUUUUAUUUAAAUCAACUGGGGGGGGUUAUUUGAAUAUUUUUAGUUAAAUAAACUCACCUCAUAGCCCAAUAACCUCCCAUUGCUUAUCUUCCAGGGAAUGGGUGCCCAGGAGACCUCGAUGGCCGAGGAGGACAGGCUGGUGGCAGACACUCCAGAGGGGGCUGUGCUGGGCUCUGCAUUGGGAAACCAAGGAAGGAGAGGUGACAAACAGAACUGGGGACUGUGCAAAUAAACAUGUGAACAGAAGAUCUCAUUUCUAUGAACUGUUGCUGUUCUCUGAUGGAACGGCUCACAGUAAAUAUUUGGAAGCAGCUCAAUCAUGUACCUUCUUCAGCUGAAUAAACCGUGGUGACUGAACUGAA
Long non-coding RNA from Pseudopipra pipra, 7159 nucleotides. RefSeq lists it as uncharacterized. NCBI's taxonomy places the organism in Eukaryota, Metazoa, Chordata, Aves, Passeriformes, Pipridae. The record is from RefSeq and is a predicted model, not a curated record. The transcript has 8 exons.